This 582-nucleotide ribosomal RNA is filed under the name Vibrio sp. TG4-07. RNAcentral's name for it is "bacterial SSU rRNA". It matches the Rfam family "Bacterial small subunit ribosomal RNA", at positions 45 to 604 of the family's 1533-position model. Lineage: Bacteria; Pseudomonadati; Pseudomonadota; Gammaproteobacteria; Vibrionales; Vibrionaceae. The record is from RNAcentral.
GGCCUAACACAUGCAAGUCGAGCGGAAAACGACAACAUUGAUUCUUCGGAUGAUUUGUUGGGCGUCGAGCGGCGGACGGGUGAGUAAUGCCUAGGAAGUUGCCCGGUAGAGGGGGAUAACCAUUGGAAACGAUGGCUAAUACCGCAUAAUCUCUAUGGAGCAAAGCAGGGGACCUUCGGGCCUUGUGCUACCGGAUACGCCUAGGUGGGAUUAGCUAGUUGGUGAGGUAAUGGCUCACCAAGGCGACGAUCCCUAGCUGGUCUGAGAGGAUGAUCAGCCACACUGGAACUGAGACACGGUCCAGACUCCUACGGGAGGCAGCAGUGGGGAAUAUUGCACAAUGGGCGAAAGCCUGAUGCAGCCAUGCCGCGUGUAUGAAGAAGGCCUUCGGGUUGUAAAGUACUUUCAGUUGUGAGGAAGGGUGUGUAGUUAAUAACUGCACAUCUUGACGUUAGCAACAGAAGAAGCACCGGCUAACUCCGUGCCAGCAGCCGCGGUAAUACGGAGGGUGCGAGCGUUAAUCGGAAUUACUGGGCCGUAAAGCGCAUGCAGGUGGUUCAUUAAGUCAGAUGUGAAAGCCCG